CUGCGAAUGGCUCAUUAAAUCAGUUAUCGUUUAUUUGAUAGUACCUUACUACUUGGAUAACCGUGGUAAUUCUAGAGCUAAUACAUGCUAAAAACCCCGACUUCGGGAGGGGUGUAUUUAUUAGAUAAAAAACCAAUGCCCUUCGGGGCUCUUUGGUGAUUCAUAAUAACUUAACGGAUCGCAUGGCCUUGCGCCGGCGACGGUUCAUUCAAAUUUCUGCCCUAUCAACUUUCGAUGGUAAGGUAUUGGCUUACCAUGGUUUCAACGGGUAACGGGGAAUUAGGGUUCGAUUCCGGAGAGGGAGCCUGAGAAACGGCUACCACAUCCAAGGAAGGCAGCAGGCGCGCAAAUUACCCAAUCCCGACUCGGGGAGGUAGUGACAAUAAAUACUGAUACAGGGCUCUUUUGGGUCUUGUAAUCGGAAUGAGUACAAUUUAAACCCCUUAACGAGGAACAAUUGGAGGGCAAGUCUGGUGCCAGCAGCCGCGGUAAUUCCAGCUCCAAUAGCGUAUAUUAAAGUUGUUGCAGUUAAAAAGCUCGUAGUUGAACCUUGGGCCUGGCUGGCCGGUCCGCCUCACCGCGUGUACUGGUCCGGCCGGGCCUUUCCUUCUGGAGAGCCGCAUGCCCUUCACUGGGUGUGUUGGGGAACCAGGACUUUUACUUUGAAAAAAUUAGAGUGUUCAAAGCAGGCCUUUGCUCGAAUACGUUAGCAUGGAAUAAUAGAAUAGGACGUGCGGUCCUAUUUUGUUGGUUUCUAGGACCGCCGUAAUGAUUAAUAGGGAUAGUCGGGGGCAUCAGUAUUCAAUUGUCAGAGGUGAAAUUCUUGGAUUUAUUGAAGACUAACUACUGCGAAAGCAUUUGCCAAGGAUGUUUUCAUUAAUCAGUGAACGAAAGUUAGGGGAUCGAAGACGAUCAGAUACCGUCGUAGUCUUAACCGUAAACUAUGCCGACUAGGGAUCGGGCGAUGUUUCUAUCUUGACUCGCUCGGCACCUUACGAGAAAUCAAAG
RNAcentral lists this ribosomal RNA (1008 nucleotides) under Hermatomyces sphaericus. RNAcentral describes it as "SSU rRNA". It matches the Rfam family "Eukaryotic small subunit ribosomal RNA", at positions 87 to 1103 of the family's 1831-position model. The record is from RNAcentral. Lineage: Eukaryota; Fungi; Ascomycota; Dothideomycetes; Pleosporales; Hermatomycetaceae.